RNAcentral lists this ribosomal RNA (253 nucleotides) under uncultured bacterium. Its description in RNAcentral is "partial 16S ribosomal RNA". It matches the Rfam family "Bacterial small subunit ribosomal RNA", at positions 524 to 776 of the family's 1533-position model. The record is from RNAcentral.
UACAGAGGGUGCAAGCGUUAAUCGGAGUUACUGGGCGUAAAGGGCGCGUAGGCGGUUAUACAAGUGAGAUGUGAAAUCCCUGGGCUUAACCUAGGAAUUGCAUUUCAGACUGUAUGGCUUGAGUGCAGUAGAGGGUAGUGGAAUUUCCGGUGUAGCGGUGAAAUGCGUAGAGAUCGGAAGGAACACCAGUGGCGAAGGCGACUACCUGGACUGACACUGACGCUGAGGCGCGAGAGCGUGGGGAGCAAACAGG